This 296-nucleotide unclassified non-coding RNA is filed under the name Hevea brasiliensis (rubber tree). The record is from RNAcentral. Lineage: Eukaryota; Viridiplantae; Streptophyta; Magnoliopsida; Malpighiales; Euphorbiaceae.
AAUCUUGUAACCACAUAAGCUAUUUGUGGCAUUGGGGACCUUGUGAGCCAAAUGAUGAAACGUGUAUAGCAGGCACUCAACAUAAGUAAAGUUCAUCUCCUCUCCUGUCUUUCUCCCAGGCAUAUAUUUCUUCAAUAGCUGAACAACAGAAGGGAGGAAUUGACGUGAAUCUUGAGGCGUAGUAUAUGGUGAAAAUUCUGCAAGGGCUUUAAGCAAAUCCAGCUUGCGUUCCUCAGGCAGCUUCUCAAAAACUGGAAUAACAUGUUUGUUCAAGUAGCUGAGAAACUUGCAACUUG